Molecule: ribosomal RNA, 517 nt
Filed under: uncultured bacterium
Lineage: Bacteria
Description: bacterial SSU rRNA
Rfam family: Bacterial small subunit ribosomal RNA
Source: RNAcentral
AAUGGACGUUGGCGGCGUGGAUUAGGCAUGCAAGUCGAGCGAGAAGCUUAAGAAAGAUACUUCGGUUGAUUUCUUGAGUGGACAGCGGCGAAAGGGAGAGUAACGAGUAGAUUACGUACCCGAGGGUCCGGGAUAGCUGCGGGAAACUGCAGGUAAUACCGGAUAAUGUUUCCGAACCAAAGAUUUAUUGCCCUCGGAGCGGUCUGCUUACUAUUAGCUUGUUGGUGGGGUAAGAGCCCACCAAGGCAAAGAUGGUUAGCGGGUGUGUGAGCAUGGCCCGUCUCACUGGGACUGAGACACUGCCCAGACGUCUACGGACGGCUGCAGUCGAGAAUCUUCCGCAAUGGGCGAAAGCCUGACGGAGCGACGCCGCGUGCGGGAUGAAGGCCUUCGGGUUGUAAACCGCUGUCAGAGGGGAGCAAAUUUUGAGCGAUCCUCAGAGGAAGCACAGGCUAAGUUCGUGCCAGCAGCCGCGGUAAUACGAACUGUGCGAACGUUAUUCGGAAUCACUGGGCUU